GAGUUUGAUCCUGGCUCAGGAUUAACGCUAGCGGCAUGCCUAAUACAUGCAAGUCGAACGAAAGUAGCAAUACUUUAGUGGCGAACGGGUGAGUAACACGUAUCUAACCUACCAUUUAGUGAGGAAUAACUGUUGGAAACAACAGCUAAUACCGCAUAUGUUAUUUAUUUGCAAUGAUAAAUAAUGAAAGGAGCAUUUGCUUCGCUAAUUGAUGGGGAUGCGGCGCAUUAACUAGUUGGUAAGGUAAUGGCUUACCAAGGUAACGAUGCGUAGCCGAUCUGAGAGGAUGAACGGCCACAUUGGGAAUGAGACACGGCCCAAACUUCUACGGAAGGCAGCAGUAGGGAAUUUUUCACAAUGGGCGAAAGCCUGAUGGAGCAAUGCCGCGUGACUGAUGAAGGUCUUCGGAUUGUAAAAGUCUGUUGUAAGAGAAGAAGUGCUAGAAUAGGAAAUAAUUUUAGUAUCGACCAUACCUUACCAGAAAGCCACGGGCUAAAUA
Molecule: ribosomal RNA, 499 nt
Filed under: Spiroplasma endosymbiont of Heliconius timareta
Lineage: Bacteria; Bacillati; Mycoplasmatota; Mollicutes; Entomoplasmatales; Spiroplasmataceae
Description: bacterial SSU rRNA
Rfam family: Bacterial small subunit ribosomal RNA
Source: RNAcentral